Molecule: long non-coding RNA, 1112 nt
Filed under: Homo sapiens (human)
Lineage: Eukaryota; Metazoa; Chordata; Mammalia; Primates; Hominidae
Description: long intergenic non-protein coding RNA 2817
Source: RNAcentral
AAAGUAAAGAUCAGCAGACAAGAGGAAAAGUAACUGAAGAGCUGUUUCCUGUGCCUGCCCCUGAGAGCUGAUGGCUUCCCAGAGAUGCCUCACAGUCCUGCGCAGACAGAGAGAAUGCAGAAGCUGGCAAAGGAUCCUCCACACGCAAGAUCAGAGGACGUCCCAGAUCAUCUUUUCUUUGUGGAUACUGCAGCCAGGUGUACAGUAAGGAGCAGACAACAUGGCACUGGCCAAGUGGAAAGGCUGUUUGCAUAAUAAGAUUACGAUGGGGUGGCCUGCCUUCCCUGUGUGCUACGUAAACAUCACACCUGAUCCAACCAAUCUGCAGGCCCUACAUAAAUCAGACACCGCCUCCUCCAGCCUGCCUAUAAAAUCUGGUACACUCCACGUGGGCCAGAAGUCCCAUUUGGAUGCCCCUCUCUUUCGCAAGAGAGAGAGCUGUUCUCCUUUCUCUUUCUUUUGCCUAUUACAUUCCGCUCCUAAAGUCACUUCUCAUGUAUGUCCACGUCCUUAAUCUUCUUGAUGCAAGACAAUGAACCCGGGUAUUUACCCCAGACAACAACACCACUUCACUAGGAGUUAAAAGAACUUGAAAUGCAAAUUCAUGGUCAUCUGGUUCCAAAGCCCAUAUUAACAAAAUUUUUUUAAUUGUGAUAAAAUACACAUAACAUAAAGUUGACCGUGUUAACUGUUUUUAAAUGUACAGUCCAGUAGUGUUAAGUACAUUCACAUUGUUGGGCAAUCCUUCUUCAGAACUUUUUAAGUUUCCCAAACUGAAGCUCUGCGUCUAUUAAGAACAACUCUUUCUUCCAAUCCCCAGCUGUUGGCAACUAUCAUUCUACUUUCUGUCUUUAUGCAUUUAAUAAUUCUACGUACCUCAUAUAAAUGAAAUCAAAUGGUAUUUGUAACUGGCUUAUUUCACUUAGCAUAAUAUCCUCAAGAUUCAGUCAUAUUGUUAUAUGUGUCAUAAAUUGCAUUUGUAAUAUCACAAACUACACCUUGAUAUAUUGUCUACUGAUUAGCAUGGAUUUAUAAUUAUUUUUAUGCUUUGCCUUCUACAUUCUAUAAAAGAAUAAAAAGUUGAGUUAAAAACCAAAAUUAUAAUAAUGAAA